AGCGGUUAAGACCGAGCAUCGCCUACUGGAUUUCUUUCAGCUUUAUGGCUAUGUUAUCGGUCUUUACUUCGUAGUCUGUGGUUAUUAGAGACCCGAUUACGGACUGUUUAAAGGUUUGUCACUUGAAAAUAGUAUUUCCUUUUUAUUUAUCAUAGUAAUUAGCUUUAAAAUGUCAGAUUAAGGAGAAAACUCAUCCAAAAGCAUUAUGAUGAAGAGUAUUAUGUGUCUUAUGAACUGAAAGCAGGUGGUAGAAAAAGGACAGGGGCGCAGGUUAGUGCGGUGUUGUCCUUAGAUCCUGGGCAACCAAACACUGGUAUCAAGGUGGAAGCCUUAUAUCAAUCUCCAUUUUAACAAGAAGAUCUUUCAUCAUCUCCUCCCUCCCUUAUCACCAAUGAGUCUUGCAAUGAAGGUGCUUGCAUGGAGGAUAACUGUGAUCCAAACAACACAAACUUAACUGAAGCUAUACUUGCUAAUAUGUAAUACCACUAGAUCAAUAAUGGAGGCAACAAGUAUUUAUGGGUUUUUUAUGAAUUUUCCACAAAAUAGAUUUCAAUUUGAG
Molecule: long non-coding RNA, 559 nt
Filed under: Daphnia magna
Lineage: Eukaryota; Metazoa; Arthropoda; Branchiopoda; Diplostraca; Daphniidae
Description: uncharacterized LOC123474715, transcript variant X2
Source: RNAcentral